Molecule: long non-coding RNA, 3404 nt
Filed under: Sus scrofa (pig)
Lineage: Eukaryota; Metazoa; Chordata; Mammalia; Artiodactyla; Suidae
Description: lncRNA (ENSSSCG00000063091.1)
Source: RNAcentral
CUCCUGAGGCCAUUGGGACCCAAGGAGAAGCGUCACUGCUACAGUCUCCCCUCCCCACUAAGGUGCCAGCAGCAUCUGCCAGCCUUGGUGAGACCGAGGACAGCCGGACCAUCCAUUCCCUGGAAAGCUGAUGGCCAGGGUCUCUGGAAUGGGAGGACCAGGAGGAGGGCAGUCCUGUCGUGACUUGGGGGCCUGGGUCGUGGGUGGGGUUACCUCCCCACCGGUUAGGUCACCCCCUGCCAGGAUGGGGUGGGGUCUUCCAGGACACAGUGUUACCCAAAAACUGCAUUCGCCUCUUGCCAAGGAGUCAAGUUCAAAGACAACCAAGGCCACGAGCAGAAGAAGGAAGGACUUACUACCAAUGGCAGGUAAGAACACUGGGGACCUUUCCCAAGGCAGUGUCUCCCUGGACAGCAAAAGCGGGGAAGUUUUACACUAAGGGUACGUGCAUGUUACAGCAGCUGCCCAGCAGCCCUGCGCCACAGUGUAUCAGCUCUAGUGACAGCCCUGUGGCAGUAGUGUACCAGCUCCAGCAGCUCUGUGCCUGCAGUGUACCAGUUCUGUCACCCGGCGAGAAACCAAGCCAGCCCUCGGAGAGUUGGAGAACUCAGGUUUAUUACGCAGGCAGGCUCAGAGGAGAUCGCGCUCCAGAGUCUGAGCCCCAAAGAAGGGUUUCCCAAGGCUUCUAUGGGCUACCUCUGCUGGGUCCGUGCUUGGCUGGUCAGACCGGAGUGGGGUCAGGCAAGGGAAUAGAUGCGGAAACAAAUUUACAGAAGCGGAUGUGUGGGGAGGGGUGGUGGGGCCGUUGGCUGGACUUUGCUUAGUCAUCAUGGCCGGGGUCUCCUUUCUACCUUUUUAUGGGGACAAUUUCUCCUACAGCAUAUUCAGGAAGAGGCUUGAGCAGAGAAUUCAGCGUGGAAUUGGGGCAAAUGUUGACAGAGUCCAGGCUGUGGUUGACUGAAGUCGAAAGGUCAACCUCAUCAUUCCGUCCUCCGUCUGGGUGGGGGCCUCGAUUCCUGCAGAACUGAGACAGGUGUCAGACUGGUAUGAACAGUCUUCAAGGAGGAGCUUGGACUGUCUGUGCUACUACUGCACUACGGUUUGGUGGCCUUUUCUCAGUCCCUGCGUUCCUUCACUUUCCUUAAGCUCUUUUUUUUUUUUUUUUAAUUUAAUUUAAUUUAAUUUAAUUUAAUUUUUUGUAUUUUUCUAGAAACGCAUCUGCGGCACACGGAGAUUCCCAGGCUAGGGGUCUAAUCAGAGCUGUAGCCACCAGCCUACACCACAGCCACAGCAAUACCAGAUCCGAGCCACAUCCGCAACCUACACCACAGCUCACGGCAACGCCGGAUCCUCAACCCACUGAGCAAGGCCAAUGAUCGAACCCACGACCUCAUGGUUUCUAGUCAGAUUCAUUAACUACUGGGCCAUGAUGGGAACUCCCACUUUCCUUCAGCUCUUUAAUUACUGAGACCGAUUCAAGAGCAGUGUCAUGGCCAGGCUGAGAUCAAAUGGCUUCUUUCUCUCUCUCUUUUUCUUUUUAGGGCUGCACCCCCAGGACAUGGAAGUUCCCGGGCCAAGGGUCCAGUCAGAACUCCAUCUGCCACAGCAACACCAGAUCCAAGCCACAUCUGUGAUCUACAUUGCGGUUUGAGGCAACACCAAAUCCUUAACCCACUGAGCGAGGCCAGAGAUCGAACCGGCAUCUUCAUGGUUGCCAGUUGGAUUCUUAACCCGCCGAGCCACAACAGGAACCCCUCAAGUGGCUUCUCUUAUGUCAAGAAAGCCAUGCCUGGUUCUCUUUCUCUGCUCUCCCCUCCCCAUUUCAUCUGCCUAUAGCAGCAUUUACAGCAUGUAAAGACCCCCACACCCAAGGUGGGCCUGGCUGUCCCAGCCCCAUCUCACAAAGGCUAACCAGCCCAGCAGCUUUUUAGCAGUGGGGACAGAAUGGAGCCUAGGAUCUGGGCCGGGCCAGGGCUUGGCACUGCAGUGUCCCUGCUGCCCACAGGCCUGGAAGGAGUUGGACACACCCUCCCCCACAGUUUUCUCCAGCCCCUGAGCCCCUUGAGGGCACUGAUUCCUUCCAACCCCCACCCACUAUCCAGAACAGGAGAAGCCAAAGCUAGUCACACUUACUGACACACCCUGUUCCCAGCCAAGGAGAGACACAUGUGAGUAAUGACCAGGCUGGCUGUGCAAACAGCCCAGGAGCCUCGGGAGGGAAAGUGGACCGGGAUGCAGGAGGGCUGAUUCUGCACCUGGCCCAGGCUUCUCUCCAUUUCCUCGUGUGGUUUCAGGGUUCUGGUCACACCUCAAUUACUUCAGGACUUGGUCACGGGGAAGGAGGGGGGGGACCUGGGCUGGGCUUCCCCAGCCACAGCCCACCACUCCGGUGCUGCAGCCAGGCUCUCCUAACCCUCCGCCAAGAAAUGUGGGUUGUGAACUGCUCUUCUCCAGGCCUGUUUCCUCUUUAGCUAAAUAGGGAUAACCCCCCCGCUACUUUUCAGGGGUCUCUUAGUGUCCUAGGGCCACCUGACAAGUGCCACAAACAGAGGUGGCCUAGGGCAGGAAUCUAUGAUCUCAGAGCCCUGGAGGCUAGAAGCCCGACAUCAGGGCGUUGGCAAGAUGCGGCUUCCUCUGAAGGCUCUAGGGGACCUGCGCCUGACCUCCCCAGCUUCUGCUGGCCCCAAGGGGUCCCCUGACUUACAGCAGCCUCCCUCUCACCUCUGCCCACACCUUCCCCCACCGGCCUGCCCGCCCCUGCCCUGGUGUCUUCUCUCCCAUGUCUCUGGGCCUUCACCUGGCAUCUCUUGGUCUCUCUCCUCUUCUGGUAGAGACACCAGUCAGACUGGAUCGGAGGUCUGUCUUGUCUUAACAAAUUCCAUCUAAGGUGAUCCUGUGUCCAUGGAAGUUCCUGUGCUGAGGUCCUGGGGGUUAGGACAUUAACAUAGCUCUUUGGGGGACACGAUUCCUUUCACCCCAUAAAGAGGGGUGUUGGGAACAGAGAAUCAUACUCAGUAUUUUGUAAUAACCCAUCAGGGAAAAUAAUCCAAAAAAAAAGUAGAUAUGUGUAUGCACAACUGAAUCACUUUGCCGUACACCUGAAACUAACAUGGCUUUGUAAACUAACUAUACUUCAAUUUAAAAAGUUAAAAAAAAGGAGUUCCCGUCGUGGCGCAGUGGUUAACGAAUCCGACUAGGAACCAUGAGGUUGCGGGUUCGGUCCCUGCCCUUGCUCAGUGGGUUAACGAUCCGGCGUUGCCGUGAGCUGUGGUGUAGGUUGCAGAUGCGGCUCGGAUCCCGCGUUGCUGUGGCUCUGGCGCAGGCCGGUGGCUACAGCUCCGAUUCGACCCCUAGCCUGGGAACCUCCAUGUGCCGCAGGAGCAGCCCAAAGAAAUAGCAAAAAG